GAUGAACGCUGGCGGCGUGCUUAACACAUGCAAGUCGAACGGAAAGGCCAGUGCUUGCACUGGUACUCGAGUGGCGAACGGGUGAGUAACACGUGGGUGAUCUGCCCUGCACUUCGGGAUAAGCUUGGGAAACUGGGUCUAAUACCGGAUAGGACCACUUCGUUGUUGUUGUGGUGGAAAGUUUUUUCGGUGUGGGAUGAGCUCGCGGCCUAUCAGCUUGUUGGUGGGGUAAUGGCCUACCAAGGCGUCGACGGGUAGCCGGCCUGAGAGGGUGUACGGCCACAUUGGGACUGAGAUACGGCCCAGACUCCUACGGGAGGCAGCAGUGGGGAAUAUUGCACAAUGGGCGGAAGCCUGAUGCAGCGACGCCGCGUGGGGAUGACGGCCUUCGGGUUGUAAACUCCUUUCGCCAAAGACGAAUUUUGACGGUAUUUGGAGAAGAAGCACCGGCUAACUACGUGCCAGCAGCCGCGGUAAUACGUAGGGUGCGAGCGUUGUCCGGAAUUACUGGGCGUAAAGAGCUCGUAGGUGGUUUGUCGCGUCGUUUGUGUAAGCCCAUGGCUUAACUGUGGGACUGCAGGCGAUACGGGCAUAACUUGAGUGCUGUAGGGGAGACUGGAAUUCCUGGUGUAGCGGUGAAAUGCGCAGAUAUCAGGAGGAACACCGAUGGCGAAGGCAGGUCUCUGGGCAGUUACUGACGCUGAGGAGCGAAAGCAUGGGGAGCGAACAGGAUUAGAUACCCUGGUAGUCCAUGCCGUAAACGGUGGGCGCUAGGUGUGGGUCCCUUCCACGGGGUUCGUGCCGUAGCUAACGCAUUAAGCGCCCCGCCUGGGGAGUACGGCCGCAAGGCUAAAACUCAAAGGAAUUGACGGGGGCCCGCACAAGCGGCGGAGCAUGUGGAUUAAUUCGAUGCAACGCGAAGAACCUUACCUGGGCUUGACAUACACCGGAUCGCUGCAGAGAUGUAGUUUCCCUUGUGGCUGGUGUACAGGUGGUGCAUGGUUGUCGUCAGCUCGUGUCGUGAGAUGUUGGGUUAAGUCCCGCAACGAGCGCAACCCUUGUCUUAUGUUGCCAGCAUUUGGUUGGGGACUCAUGAGAGACUGCCGGGGUUAACUCGGAGGAAGGUGGGGAUGACGUCAAAUCAUCAUGCCCCUUAUGUCCAGGGCUUCACACAUGCUACAAUGGUCGGUACAACGCGCAGCGAGCCUGUGAGGGUGAGCGAAUCGCUGAAAGCCGGUCGUAGUUCGGAUUGGGGUCUGCAACUCGACCCCAUGAAGUCGGAGUCGCUAGUAAUCGCAGAUCAGCAACGCUGCGGUGAAUACGUUCCCGGGCCU
This 1334-nucleotide ribosomal RNA is filed under the name uncultured bacterium. RNAcentral's name for it is "bacterial SSU rRNA". It matches the Rfam family "Bacterial small subunit ribosomal RNA", at positions 28 to 1381 of the family's 1533-position model. The record is from RNAcentral.